GACUAGUCCAAGUGCCGUCAUGUUUACAACUGAUUGAUCACAAGCAAUCGCAAAUUUCUUUGUUCCUUCUCCACUCACACUGCUUCAUUAGACUAGCCUUAA
RNAcentral lists this Y RNA (102 nucleotides) under Mandrillus leucophaeus (drill). RNAcentral's name for it is "Y RNA (ENSMLEG00000018038.1)". It matches the Rfam family "Y RNA". From Rfam's summary of the family: Y RNAs are components of the Ro ribonucleoprotein particle (Ro RNP), in association with Ro60 and La proteins. The record is from Rfam by way of RNAcentral. Lineage: Eukaryota; Metazoa; Chordata; Mammalia; Primates; Cercopithecidae.